CUUGUCUGAGUCAGCUCGCUGCUGCUGCUGCAACCACUCAUCCUUAUAACCAUUGCUAAUGAGUUUGGAAAAAUUGGACCUGGAGCAGGUGGUCUGCGGUCCAGAGGAGGACAAGGUCCCAGGAGGACGGAAAACACUGAAGGCCCCAGAAGUAGAUCAUCCUAGAAGGCUUGGACAAUUGACCCGCCGCUAAUUUCCACCUCUCCGGAUCCGGCAGAGUGUCCGCUGCACUUCUGAUCCAGGGAGGCACCCACUGACGCUCCCCAUCGGGCUAGAGGCUCGCCAUUGUUCCUGCGCAGCUAAGUGCCCGGGUUCGUCCUAAUGGAGCCGAACACUAGUCGCUGGGUUCCACGGUUCUCUUCCGUGACCCACAGCUUCUCAUAGAGCUAUAACACUCAUGCAUGGCCCAAGGUUCCAUUCCUUGGAAUCCGUGAGGCCAAGAACCCCAGGUCAGAGAACAAAAGGCUUGCCACCAUCUUGAGAGCAGCCCACCACCAUCUUGGAAGCAGCCCGCCACCAUCUUAGAAGCUCUAAGAACGAAGACCCGCCGGUAACACUACAGUGCAAUUUACCGAGAAGGAGCCCAAAGACACAAGACUCUAGGGUGGCACAAAAUGCCACAGGUUUCCAGAACUCUGGUUUUCUGACAACUUAGGCUACAUCCCUCAAAGAGCAGGCUAUUGUAAAAGAGAACCUGAAGUUGUCAUAUCACAUGCUUGCUACCACUAUUAGACAUUUGUAUUUUUAAAAUUAAAAUUGGGCUAUUUUUUUCCUGUAAAGAUAAACAAAAAUGUGAGUGCUUUAAGGUACUUACUCUUGCUGGCUGGCUGUCGGUGGCUUGCUGUGGUGGAUAUACCAGUCUGGCAGGGAGUAGGCCACUGGAGAGCCUUUCCUGGUUCCAGGGGCAAAGUGCUUCAACAAAUCUCAAAAGAGAAAAUGACAUGGCUGUGAGACACCCCGCCGCCCCUACACAGACGCACAGCAUUGCCAGUGAUAGGCUCAAUUUACA
Molecule: long non-coding RNA, 1009 nt
Filed under: Homo sapiens (human)
Lineage: Eukaryota; Metazoa; Chordata; Mammalia; Primates; Hominidae
Description: HSALNT0122480
Source: RNAcentral